RNA transcript from Mytilus californianus (California mussel), 3909 nucleotides. It is a transcript of the gene named heat shock 70 kDa protein 12B-like, with no coding region annotated. NCBI's taxonomy places the organism in Eukaryota, Metazoa, Mollusca, Bivalvia, Mytilida, Mytilidae. The record is from RefSeq and is a predicted model, not a curated record. The transcript is spliced from 6 exons.
CUUUCGGUUCUGUUAUCGUGUAAAUAAUCAAGAGGACAUUUGGAAAAUUGUACAUUUAGUUAACAGUUCAUAUAAGGAAUGGAAUCUACACCAGGAGUCACCGUUGAAGGUUAUGAAAACAAUGAGCAGACAUCUCCGCAAAACAAUUAUCUAUUUGUGGCUGCUAUAGACUUUGGUACAUCAUAUUCUGGUUAUGCAUGGUCAUCAAAAAAUGAUUACAAAAAUUACCUGGAAGGAAAAGAUGUGGAGCCUAAAAUCUACACAAAUCAACCAUGGAACUCAGGUGGCAAAGGUUUUUUCUCUGAGAAAACUCCCACUUGUUUGCUGCUAGAUGCUGAUAGAAAGUUGGUUGAUUUUGGAUAUGAUGCCGAAAAUAAGUACGCUGAUUUGUCGCAAGAAGGGAAACAUUCAGAUUACUACUUCUUUCAAAGGUUUAAGAUGAAUUUACAUGAGGGAUUUCAAAUUGAAGCGAUUGACAGAAUGUUAAGGACUGUGUUUAUCAAUGAAACAUUUUCAUUUGCUCAUCGUGGAAGUACUGAUUUCUCGUUUCAAAGCAAAGAAAUGAUGGCUGUCGAGAUGAACGGAAAACAGCUUCCUGCUUUUGAAGUAUUUGCUAUGUCGAUAAAAGCACUAGUUGAUCAUCUGAUGACAAUGUUUCAACAUAAAGGGAACAUGGCAACAUUAAAAAUUGACGACAUAAAAUGGACUUUAACCGUUCCUGCUAUAUGGAGUGAAAAGUCCAAGCAGUUUAUGAGGAGGAGUGCAGUAAAGGCUGGCAUACCAAACAGCAAUCUCUCGAUAGCGCUAGAACCAGAAUGUGCGUCUGUAUAUUGUCAACAUCUGAGUAAAGAUCAUUUGUACGGUGCAAGAGAUGAAUACUCGAUGAAAGAAACAGGACAAAAAUAUAUAGUCGUCGACCUUGGAGGUUUCUUUUAUAAUUUGAAAAAGUCAUUGUGUUAAUCUAUCUGCCACCACGGCAUUAAGUGGAAGAAAAUUACACUUAAUUGAUUAGUUGCGUCCAAAGCUCUUUCCUGGAAUUACCUUCAUCAUGAACGCCAAGAUCCAAAAACUUUAAAACCACGAAUUUUUAAGUAUCAGAAACGAGAACCAGAAUGUGCGUCUGUAUAUUGUCAACAUCUGAGUAAAGAUCAUUUGUACGGUGCAAGAGAUGAAUACUCGAUGAAAGCAACAGGACAAAAAUAUAUAGUCGUCGACCUUGGAGGUUUCUUUUAUAAUUUGAAAAAGUCAUUGUGUUAAUCUAUCUGCCACCACGGCAUUAAGUGGAAGAAAAUUACACUUAAUUGAUUAGUUGCGUCCAAAGCUCUUUCCUGGAAUUACCUUCAUCAUGAACGCCAAGAUCCAAAAUCUUUAAAACCACGAAUUUUUAAGUAUCAGAAACGAGAACCAGAAUGUGCGUCUGUAUAUUGUUAACAUCUGAGUAAAGAUCAUUUUUACGGUGCAAGAGAUGAAUACUCGAUGAAAGAAACAGGACAAAAAUAUAUAGUCGUCGACCUUGGAGGUUUCUUUUAUAAUUUGAAAAAGUCAUUGUGUUAAUCUAUCUGCCACCACGGCAUUAAGUGGAAGAAAAUUACACUUAAUUGAUUAGUUGCGUCCAAAGCUCUUUCCUGGAAUUACCUUCAUCAUGAACGCCAAGAUCCAAAAACUUUAAAACCACGAAUUUUUAAGUAUCAGAAACGAGAACCAGAAUGUGCGUCUGUAUAUUGUCAACAUCUGAGUAAAGAUCAUCUGUACGGUGCAAGAGAUGAAUACUCGAUGAAAGAAACAGGACAAAAAUAUAUAGUCGUCGACCUUGGAGGUUUCUUUUAUAAUUUGAAAAAGUCAUUGUGUUAAUCUAUCUGCCACCACGGCAUUAAGUGGAAGAAAAUUACACUUAAUUGAUUAGUUGCGUCCAAAGCUCUUUCCUGGAAUUACCUUCAUCAUGAACGCCAAGAUCCAAAAAUUUUAAAACCACGAAUUUUUAAGUAUCAGAAACAUGAAGAGUUAAAUCAACUAGCAGUACCGAAAAGGAAUAGGUGAAAAUGAUCAUUAAAAAUAGUAAACUAAUAACUUUUUAUUUCUCUUGUAUAGCUCUGAUUUCUUGUAUGUGUUUGGCUAAACUGUUGGUCCUUUUAUGGUUUAUUAGCUCUUCAGUGUUUGUCUUAGGUUUUGAUAUGUUGGCCGCAUCAAAUCUGAAUAGACAUUAACUGUUGAAAUGCGCAUCUGGUGCAGUAUAAUUAGUGUCGGUGUCAGUGUUAAUACGUAAACACACACAUCAUUGUUUUCCCAUUUACUUUCAGAGCACUUUUUUUAAUUCUUGCGAUAUUCCAGAAUGAUGAGGUUGAGAGAUCGAGUUACAAAAAAAAAUGUAUUUACAAAUACAUUAUGUUUGAAUGAAAUGUGGAGUAUUAUCUUUUCAUAAUCGUGAGAUCAACGGAAAAUGUCCCAUGAAAAAACAUCUAGAAAUAUAUUUCCCGCAUUAAUUACGAUAAGCGAAAGGUAGAUUGUACACAUUUGGUGCGUUCGAAUUGCUGUUAGUGUGUGACCUUCAUCAGUAAUACUGAAAGCUAAUGAUUAUUUGCCAAAAUUACUUGGCAAAUAUUUAACCAUAGUGCUUAACUACCUCCACGUAGAUAAAUACAAAAUGACAUCUAAUUAACCUAAUGUUUCAGGUGGUACUGCUGACAUUGCUGUGCAUGAAAAGAUUGAAGGUAACAAACUUAAAGAGAUACAUCGAUCUACAGGGAGCAACUGUGGUGGGACAUCUGUUGAUGCUGCAUUUCUUCAAUUCAUGGAUACAAUUUUUGGAAAAUCGGUUUUAGAGACCAUGAAAAAAGAAUAUCCCGAAUCUUAUCUCGACUUGAUGAGAGAGUUUGAAUGUAAAAAGAGAACCGUUAACUGUGAUGAGACCGACACAAUCCGAAUGUCAUUGCCAAUGGCUGCCCUAUCGAAACUGUGUUCACAGAUCCAUAACAAAAGCAUCGAAGAGGUAAUACUUUUAUCCACACACAGAAAAGGUUUCUGUUAGAACAGAUAAGUUAAGAAUUAAAUCUGAAAUAUUUGUUGAGUUUUUUAUGCCAACAAUAAAAAAACUCAUUAGCCUACUCGAACACAUAAUGAAGAACAAACGAGUUGCUGAGGUCGACAAUAUACUGUUGGUUGGCGGCUUUGCUGAAUGCACAAUGCUUCAGCAACAUGUUCGAGAUAAAUUUCCGACGAAAAGAGUGAUUGUUCCAUUUGACUGUGGUUUAUCGGUAUUGAAAGGUGCUGUUAUCUAUGGAUUUGAUCCCUCUUAUAUCGCAAUACGAAUUAUUGGGCACACUUACGGUGUCGAUGUAGCUGUUCGUUAUGAUGAUUCAAAACAUGAUUUGGAACACAUGUUUGAAUAUAAUGACAUAAUGUACAGCAAAAGCGUUUUUAAAACAAUAAUAGAGCAGGAGACGGAGGUAUCAGCUGAUACGAAAGUUACGCGUGAAUACCGAACGAUCAAAGAAUUCCAGGAACGUUUGACAAUAGACAUAUAUGUUACACGUAACCCAUAUCCACGCUAUGUUGACGAAGAAGGGUGUCUUCUUCUCGGCAAAUUGUUGGUUGAUAUCCCAAAUCCGACAAAGGAGAAACGUAUAUUUGACGUUGACUUUAUAUUUGGGAACACGGAAAUGAGCGUUGCAGCAGUUGAUCGUGAAUCGGGGGGAAAAUUUGAGACACAAGUUGAAAUAUUCACAGAUGCUUGAGGAUAUACAAACCUAUAUAUACGACUUAACUUACAUUUUCAAUUAGGAAAAAUAUACUGAUAUGGAUGUCAACUUAUUCAUGAUUGUAAUGUUGUGAUCAAUUAUGAAAUAUAUAAAAUGUCUCUUAAUAGUAUAUAUCACUACUCAGAUCUUCAAGUUAUUUAAAAUAAAUGUUGUA